Molecule: unclassified non-coding RNA, 423 nt
Filed under: soil metagenome
Description: partial contains 5.8S ribosomal RNA, internal transcribed spacer 2, and large subunit ribosomal RNA
Rfam family: 5.8S ribosomal RNA (bases 1-120)
Source: RNAcentral
GAUGAAGAACGUAGCGAAAUGCGAUAAGUAGUGUGAAUUGCAGAAUUCCGUGAAUCAUCGAAUCUUUGAACGCACAUUGCGCCUUCUGGUAUUCCGGAAGGCAUGCCUGUUCGAGAGUCAUUAACAACCGUUUCGAUCCCUUUCUUUCAGAAAUUACAAAGAGGAAAAGGGUUUGGUUAUGGUGGAGGAGGGAAAGGGAGCGUUUAGCCUGUAAAAAAAGAGGCUGUGUUCCGCCUCCCCCCCAAAAUUGUACAGGCGGUCGUGUGCGCCCACGCAUCGAGGUGUUGUAAAAGCUGCCACGGCACUUUUCACCUGUGCAGUGCGAGAUUGGCCAGCCGGUUUAAAAACCCCUCCAAACAAUCAAAGGUUGACCUCGGAUCAGGUAGGGAUACCCGCUGAACUUAAGCAUACAAUAAGCGGGGA